AAGUACCUUACCUUUUACGUCCACACCCCUCCACUACACAAAAAGGCUCCAAAUUGGCAGGUGCAAAGCCGACUAGCCAGAGGAUGAAAACACUUUAAAAGGGCCCAAAAAGAAGCGUUGAAAGGUCCACAUUUUGUUCAUCUGCAAAAGUAAAACAAAUGUCCACAAUCUGUACAAGCAAAAAUAUAAAGCUGAUUAAAAAAAGGUACAUUUGUCACGCCGAGGUAAGGCAGGGAGGUUUUUGUACAGCCCCUCUACGAGCGUGUACCACCGUGUGACCCUGUACCCACAGUGUUAGCGCUUUGCACAAAAACACAGCGUGUUCUAGCCCACCUUUCUGCAGCCACAAAACAGAUCAUAUCUCGGCGCCUCAUCUGGAGACGCGUGAGAGCGUUGAGUCGGGUCACGCCCGGCUGUAAAGAAGCUCAGAAACCUUCCAAAGUGGGGUCAUUCCAUGCCGUAUCACUCAGCGGAUUUUGAUUUUAAUGAAAUUUGCUGCACUUGUUGAGCGUUAUAACACAACGCAAAGUC
This is a long non-coding RNA of Hippocampus comes (tiger tail seahorse), 531 nucleotides long. RefSeq lists it as uncharacterized. NCBI's taxonomy places the organism in Eukaryota, Metazoa, Chordata, Actinopteri, Syngnathiformes, Syngnathidae. The transcript has 2 exons. The record is from RefSeq and is a predicted model, not a curated record.